Molecule: long non-coding RNA, 489 nt
Organism: Peromyscus eremicus (cactus mouse)
Lineage: Eukaryota; Metazoa; Chordata; Mammalia; Rodentia; Cricetidae
Exons: 3
Source: RefSeq, a predicted model, not a curated record
UCUGAAGGGGGAGAACAGAAGGGGCUGAAGGACUCUUGUCCUGUGGUGUAAGCAGAUAAUGACACUUCAGCUGCUUCUCUGCACAGGCAGGAGAGGACCAAGGACUUAAAGAAUGUGCAUCCUGGGACAACGGAGAUGAUGCGGUGAGAUGCUCGCCCGUGAGCAUGAGAGCCAGAGUUCGAUGCUGAGCAUCCAGUUCCAUUGGAAGUGAUAAGAUCAUCUAUACUGAAGUCUGCUAUGAGCCAGAACAUUAUCUGGGAAGUCAGGUGAGGACAUGGACCAUCCCUUACUGCUUUUUUUAGUUUAAUUAUUUUAUAUGUAUGAGUGUCUGCCUGUGUGUAUGUGUACUGUGUGAGUGCCUGGUCCCAGAAGAGGGCAUUGGAUCCCCUGGAAUUGGAGUUGGAGACACUGUUGAGUCACCAUUUGGGCAGGCACAUAGGGCAUUUCCUUAAUUAGUGACUGACAUGCAAGAGCACAGCCCGUUGUAGG